This 506-nucleotide ribosomal RNA is filed under the name uncultured bacterium. RNAcentral describes it as "partial 16S ribosomal RNA". It matches the Rfam family "Bacterial small subunit ribosomal RNA", at positions 29 to 523 of the family's 1533-position model. The record is from RNAcentral.
AGUGAACGCUGGCGGUAGGCCUAACACAUGCAAGUCGAACGGCAGCACGGGAGAGCUUGCUCUCUGGGUGGCGAGUGGCGGACGGGUGAGGAAUACAUCGGAAUCUACUCUGUCGUGGGGGAUAACGUAGGGAAACUUACGCUAAUACCGCAUACGACCUACGGGUGAAAGCAGGGGAUCUUCGGACCUUGCGCGAUUGAAUGAGUCGAUGUCGGAUUAGCUAGUUGGCGGGGUAAAGGCCCACCAAGGCGACGAUCCGUAGCUGGUCUGAGAGGAUGAUCAGCCACACUGGAACUGAGACACGGUCCAGACUCCUACGGGAGGCAGCAGUGGGGAAUAUUGGACAAUGGGCGCAAGCCUGAUCCAGCCAUACCGCGUGGGUGAAGAAGGCCUUCGGGUUGUAAAGCCCUUUUGUUGGGAAAGAAAUCCAGCUGGCUAAUACCCGGUUGGGAUGACGGUACCCAAAGAAUAAGCACCGGCUAACUUCGUGCCAGCCGCCGCAGUAA